GUACAAUAAGCUAAAUAAGGGCGUAUGGGGAAUGCCUAGGCUCUCAGAGGCGAUGAAGGACGUGAUAAGCUGCGAAAAGUUGCGGGGAUCUGCACACAAGAAUUGAUCCGCAAAUAUCCGAAUGGGGCAACCCACUAUAUUGAAGAUAUAGUAUGCAGUAAUGCAAGCAAACCCGGAGAACUGAAACAUCUAAGUACCCGGAGGAGAAGAAAACAAAAGUGAUUCCGAUAGUAGCGGCGAGCGAAAUUGGAUUAGCCCAAACCAAAGUUGUUACGGCAAUUUUGGGGUUGUAGGACCACGAUAUUUGAAGCAUAAUGAAUUAGAAUUGUUUGGAAAGACAAGCCAUAGACGGUGAUAGCCCGGUAUAAGUAAAGCGUGUGAAUCUAGUGGUAUCCUGAGUAGUGCGGGGCACGUGAAACCCUGUAUGAAACAGUCGGGACCAUCCGAUAAGGCUAAAUACUCCUGAGAGACCGAUAGUGAACUAGUACCGUGAGGGAAAGGUGAAAAGAACCCUGAAUAAGGGAGUGAAAUAGAACCUGAAACCAUACGCUUACAAGCGGUCGGAGCAGACUUGAUCUGUGACGGCGUGCCUUUUGCAUAAUGAGCCUACGAGUUACCG
RNAcentral lists this ribosomal RNA (619 nucleotides) under Algibacter pectinivorans. Its description in RNAcentral is "bacterial LSU rRNA". It matches the Rfam family "Bacterial large subunit ribosomal RNA", at positions 1 to 633 of the family's 2925-position model. Lineage: Bacteria; Pseudomonadati; Bacteroidota; Flavobacteriia; Flavobacteriales; Flavobacteriaceae. The record is from RNAcentral.